GUGCUCUCUUAGGCAGCAUGUAUAUUAAAAAUUGGAAUAAUACAGAGAUUACUAUGGCCCUUGCACCAAGGAUGACAUACAAAUUCAUUAAAUAUUCUGUAUUUAA
This is a small nuclear RNA of Apodemus sylvaticus (European woodmouse), 106 nucleotides long. NCBI's taxonomy places the organism in Eukaryota, Metazoa, Chordata, Mammalia, Rodentia, Muridae. The record is from RefSeq and is a predicted model, not a curated record.